This 100-nucleotide ribosomal RNA is filed under the name Taiwania flousiana. Its description in RNAcentral is "4.5S ribosomal RNA". The record is from RNAcentral. Lineage: Eukaryota; Viridiplantae; Streptophyta; Pinopsida; Cupressales; Cupressaceae.
AGGUCUUGGCGAGACUAGCCAGCGAUUAGACGAUAGGUGUCAAGUGGAAGUGCAGUGAUGCAUGCAGCCGAGACAUCCUAAGAGACCAAAAGAUUUGAAC